CCUUUGUACACACCGCCCGUCGCUACUACCGAUUGAAUGGCUUAGUGAGGUCUCCGGAUUGGCUCAGGGAGGUCGGCAACGACCACCCAGAGCCGGAAAGUUCGUCAAACUCGGUCAUUUAGAGG
This 125-nucleotide ribosomal RNA is filed under the name Clonostachys sp. RNAcentral's name for it is "partial small subunit ribosomal RNA". It matches the Rfam family "Eukaryotic small subunit ribosomal RNA", at positions 1657 to 1779 of the family's 1831-position model. Lineage: Eukaryota; Fungi; Ascomycota; Sordariomycetes; Hypocreales; Bionectriaceae. The record is from RNAcentral.